UCUCUCUCUCUCGAGCUCAUGGUCUCUCUUGCGGUUUGCUCUCUGCUCUCAACAUGAACGAUAACAGAACCACUCCUCAACGGAAGUUUCACGGCGGCCAUGGAAGAGAGUUGCUCAAACUAUUACUCGAAUUCACAGACAGAACUGAAAACCAGACUCAAACACGCACAAGAACCGGAAACCAGCAAAAGUAACAAUUCCGUGCGGUUAUUGUUUUUACAGAAAAAUAAAGUCCACAGCAAUAUUGUUGAGAAUAAGCAGCGAGGAAUUGGUUUACCUGCGGCGAGGAGGAUUUCGCCGGUUUUAAUUGCUAAGGUGUGCUUCGUGUAGGUGAGCAAGAACCGUCGGGUGCCGUGUUGAAGAUGAUGUGGGGGCUGCCACUGAAGUUCAAAGGCUUUUGAUGAAGGUGAUGCCAUAACACCUCUCUUUUUGGAUUUAUGGGAUACUUGAAGUUCAACUUCAAGUGGUUGGAAGCUUGAAGAUGAAGAUCUUCAAGUAAGGUAUGAAGAACUACCUUCUCCUCUUUCCUUACUUUGGAACUAAGAAACUUUACAAUUAUGAGAGAAGUGAGAAAGCAAGUAGUUAAGGUUGCUUUGGUGUCCUUUGCUUCAAAGAGAUCAUUUCCUAUUUAUAGGCAAAGCUUAGGAUGUGUUAGGAAUUAGGAAACUUGAUUGGAAUGUUAUGGUCAUUGCAAGAAUAGGAAUAUAUUCUUCAUCAUUGCAAGAAUAAGAAUAAGAAUAUAUUCUUCAUCAUUGCAAGAAUAAGAAUAAGAAUAAGAAUAUAUUCCUUAUGUCAUUAUGCAAAGAUAUUCUCAUGAUAUAAGCCAUGUGUGUAAAUUUUUAUGUCAUUUUAUGAUAUCUCUAAGUUGCAUAAUUUUAUGACAUAAAAAUCUCUCUUUGACAUUCUUUGACUUUUGCUAAUUUCACCCCUCUUUUUGUUUCUUUUUUCAUGUUGCAUGAGGACCUUUGAAGAAAGAAUGAAGAAAUUUGAACUUGAAGAAUGAAGACUUUGAAGAAUGAAGAAUUCAAGAAAGUCUUUGAAGUUUUUUUUUCUUUUUUCUUGUAAUUCAUUCCAACUUGAAAAUGUAUGAACUUUGUAUUCUUGAAAUGAUGUAAUUCUUGAACUUUAGAUAAAGUUCCUUUUGUAAUCCAUGUGUAACUUAGAACUUGUUUUAUGUAAAAGAAUUCCAUUUGGAAAUAUUCUUUUAGAAUCUUGAAUGAAAUUGUAUGGAACUUGAAUA
Molecule: long non-coding RNA, 1240 nt
Organism: Vicia villosa (hairy vetch)
Lineage: Eukaryota; Viridiplantae; Streptophyta; Magnoliopsida; Fabales; Fabaceae
Exons: 4
Source: RefSeq, a predicted model, not a curated record